UACGGGGGGAGCAAGCGUUGUUCGGAUUUACUGGGCGUAAAGGGCGCGUAGGCGGUCAGCACAAGUCAGUUGUGAAAUCUCCGGGCUUAACUCGGAAAGGUCAACUGAUACUGCGCGACUAGAGUGCGGAAGGGGCAACUGGAAUUCUCGGUGUAGCGGUGAAAUGCGUAGAUAUCGAGAGGAACACCUGCGGCGAAGGCGGGUAGCUGGGCCGACACUGACGCUGAGGCGCGAAAGCCAGGGGAGCGAACGGG
RNAcentral lists this ribosomal RNA (254 nucleotides) under uncultured bacterium. RNAcentral describes it as "partial 16S ribosomal RNA". It matches the Rfam family "Bacterial small subunit ribosomal RNA", at positions 524 to 776 of the family's 1533-position model. The record is from RNAcentral.